RNAcentral lists this transfer RNA (77 nucleotides) under Mycoplasmataceae bacterium. Its description in RNAcentral is "tRNA-Arg". It matches the Rfam family "tRNA". Rfam says of the family: Transfer RNA (tRNA) molecules are approximately 80 nucleotides in length. Lineage: Bacteria; Bacillati; Mycoplasmatota; Mollicutes; Mycoplasmatales; Mycoplasmataceae. RNAcentral also lists the same sequence under 1 other name. The record is from RNAcentral.
GCGCCUGUAGCUCAAUUGGAUAGAGCAUUUGACUUCGGAUCAAAAGGUUGCAGGUUCGACUCCUGUCAGGCGCUCCA